RNAcentral lists this long non-coding RNA (467 nucleotides) under Mus spicilegus (steppe mouse). Its description in RNAcentral is "lncRNA (ENSMSIG00000017181.1)". Lineage: Eukaryota; Metazoa; Chordata; Mammalia; Rodentia; Muridae. The record is from RNAcentral.
CUCUUUAGUUUUUCAGUUCUUGUGGAAGAUUUUCAUAUAAGUCUCUCUUUUACAGAGUAUCUUGAAAAGAGCAAUGACUACCGAGCUUACUUAAUACAAGGAUGUCAUGAAGUCAAAGGGCUGAAAAGGGCCAUGUUCCCAAAGCUGUGCAAGAUAUACCAGUCUGCGUUGCCAUAAGAAACAGAAGUCAUACAAGGAUCUCUUUUCUGGCCUCUGGGUUUCACUUCCAUUUCUACUGGAGCCCCCUUUUGCAAGUUGAAAAGGUUCAACGAAAAUGAGCCUACAUUUCUGCCAAGUCUACAGGCCAAGAACUCUACUCCAGCAAGUUGGAGUCAGCUCCAAGACAGAAGCCAGUCUGAGCAUCAGUGUGGACUGGAAUAGAUUCAUCUGGAACUUUCGGUUCGUCCAAAGUUCAUGUGAAAAAAAUGCCUGCCUACACCCAAGGUCAUCUCAUCAACCAGGCACCA